GAGAAGGGGCUAAAAGUUGGAACGAGGAAGAAGGCUCGGAGAAAGGUGUCAGACAAAGCGGGAUUAGCAAGAAGCUGUUAGGGCUGGUCCUACCGGGAUGAGAGAAAGGCGCAGAGGCCAGCCGAGUGGAAAGAGCAGCGGUGACGAACCGGGUUCCACUCAGACGUCCGACACUUCUCGCCAAGGGGCCAGCGCGGACAGCAGCGCCUCCCGGGGACCUCUGAGAAGCCCUGUUUCUGCGCGGCUCCGCCCGACCUCCAAGGCCGACCUCGGAGGCUCAGAGACCCAGGCCCCGUUGGCACUCACCCCACUGCCACGCGGCGCCAGCGCCGGACUGGCCGCACGAUAAGCGCGUCCCAGGCUGCCGCCAACCGGCCCUCGGGGGAGACGGGUCCCGGGGGCGCAGGCGCGGGCCCCAGACACAGCGAGCUCCAGAGAGAGCGCAGCGCCGAGCCUGGCAGCUCUGGCUCCAGCAGGAAGACGCAGCCCACGGCCAGCGCCAGGAAGCCCGCGUACGCGGAGCCGCGCCACAGCGCCAUGGGGACCCAGGCGCCGCACCUGCGCGAACCAACUCCUUUCCUAGCCCGCGCCUCUUCCGGGCUCGGCGCGCGCCGAUGUCGACACAAGCGCUACGUCACAAGGGUGCGCCACGGGGCCCCCCAAGGGGCGGGGCGACGGGCGGCGCCAGGACGGAGCGAGGGGGGACCCCACGCCUCAGUCCCAGGCCUGGCACUGCGGUGUUGCCGCCCCGGAGGAGGUGGGACAACGGCGGUUGUGCCAGUCCGGGCGCUGCACCCCCUUCCCGGAACUCUAAUCGUAUCCCCAAAUAGAGGGAUGGGAACACAUUUGCUUUCGCAGUAAAACGAAACGGACAGAUUGUGAAGAAGCGGACAAACCUCGCGUUAAUAUUCGAACCAGUGGGUGUCCCCAUUGGCACGGAUCACACCCCCAUCUUUUAAUCCCUCCCUCCGCCCGUGUCCCCUCAUUUGCUAGACUUGUCCUCUUCCAGGCCUAGUGCUCGGCGCUUCUGAGAGGAAUAGGCUCACAGAAUAGCGGCGCUGCCGAGACCCCUGGGGUACGCGAGGCAGGGGGAUUCCGCCCCUUUGGAAGGUGGCCGAGACCCUCAGCCACUAAAGGACUUCGUCGAGACAGGAGAGCCCGCAGAGAUCGUUCUCUUCUGGAUAACCAGAUUAUUCCACAAUCAAACUUUAACCCUUUUGGGGGCGCUGUUCCCUUUAACAAACUCUGGAAAAUGUACACAAUCUUGUGCACAACACGAGAGUUAUGGACCUGGGUUGAGAAACGCUGCUUUCUUUUGUUCCCCCUUGGUGACAUCACUUAAACCCAGCCCUCUCUUCGCUGAUACUUUUCUGUGCAUGAGGCUAGGUUGAGAGACAGUGAAGCUAGGCUGGGUACCAGCUCAUUCUCAUCAGCCACAAUGCCCGGCCUAGUCUUGUUCCCUGGUUUGUUUCCACUUUUCCAAUUCUCUCGGCUCCUGACCUUGGCUUUGUGUCCAGUUUUCCACUGUGACCCUGACCUUUGGACUUGGCAGCGAAACUUUAUUUCCCUAACUUUGAUCUUGGGCAUUAGUCUUCAUUCUCCUCAGCCCCACCUCAUCAGAACUUCCCCAUCCUGGUCAUCUACCUUCCCGCAGUUCAUCCUACCCAGCCUACCUGACCAUGCCAUCCCUUUCGACAAAGAUAUUCACACAGGAACAGAUUUGGGCUACCUUGGAAAAGAAGCCAAAGAGCCAGUCAGAUCUUUAUGAAGCCAUGAAAGCCAUCUUCCCUAGAGUUGCCUGUCACUUCUCUCUCCUUAGGGAGACAUGUCAGUCAGUUCCUAGAGAAACUGCUUCUUCUCACAACCCUCAGCUGUCAGGUUUCCCUGGCACCCAGAGGGGACUGAGCCAGCAGCUGACCUGAAAACAGCGAGUCUGCUGACUGUCCAGCGAUCAUUUCCCUCUAUUGAGAAUUUUAACCAAGUUUCUGUUGUCUGUAGUUAUUUGAUAUUGGCUGUGGACCCACAAAGUCACACAAGGCUAAAGGUCAGAACCAGUUAAAUAUGUUUCCAAGGUGAAGUUUUGGGGAGCACAGGAAGCUGAACUGUGGGAAGGUGAUAGAACAGACAGAUCUAGAGGACUAGGAGAGUGCUCCACAUUAAAGUGAUGUGGACAGAAACCUGCCUGGGGCUUUCUUGCUCCCACGAGAGGCUGCUAAACUUCCAGCACUUUGCACCUAAUUCUUCUGCUUCUUUCUAGAUUUGCCAGAAUUGUUGAUUUAGUCACAGAGACAAAACAACAGCAGUUGAACAAAGUGGAUGUUUAUUUCUCAUGUAAAAGUCUAAAUGGGGUGUUGGCAUGUUGUGGGCUGUGGUAGCAAGCUUGGCCCCCUCUGGUUGCUAUGGGACCUGCUGUGGGCCUCUUGCUGGUUAGUCACUCAGUGUGGGUUUGCAUUGUGGGUGGUGAAGGGGGCCAGACAAGGAAACGAGAGAGCUGACCUCAAUUCCAACUGAGAACUGAAGAGUCAGGAGCCGCAGGAGGUGAAGAACAGAACACCAGGGACAGUUGCCAGGCCUGGCGGAGCCUGAUGUGGCUUCUGGUCACAUACAGAGUCACAGGGCCCUUAAUUCCUUCUCAUCGGGGCUCAGGGGCAGGCAUUCACUGUCUUGGUGCCACAGUCCCUCUUGAAAUAUUUCCUUAACGAAAAUCAGAAAAGAUUCUGAUCAUCUAUCUGUUCAGAGAGUCUGGAAUCCUUUGCAAGCCAAUUGUUUUUCUAGAAGUUAGGUUUCUGGGGACAAUUAAAACAGCUCUGAGUGGGCAGCUGUGGCUCCUUUGCCUAGGCUGAACAAAGAGGAAAGGGCUGGGCUGGGCAGGCCUCAAGACACCCCCCGCCCCCACCCAAAUUGCUUCCAGACAUGGCCUUUCCUAUUGGUUCUCUCUCCUAGGACCUUGAAAUGAGAGAAGAAAAGCAAUUUGGUUCUAGAAAAUUCAGAGGCAAAUGGAGGCUCCAGGUGCCCCACCCAAGAUCCUGACCUGGAAGGCCAGGGAGCAGAUCCUGUAUGAACACAAAGAAUUAGCAGAAUCCUGUCAGCUUCCAAAUUAGCUGAAGGUUUUGGCUUUAACAUAAAUACCCAUCAGCGUCACCCCCGCAAUCU
Molecule: long non-coding RNA, 3153 nt
Filed under: Homo sapiens (human)
Lineage: Eukaryota; Metazoa; Chordata; Mammalia; Primates; Hominidae
Description: HSALNT0382177
Source: RNAcentral